RNAcentral lists this ribosomal RNA (252 nucleotides) under uncultured Bacteroidales bacterium. Its description in RNAcentral is "partial 16S ribosomal RNA". It matches the Rfam family "Bacterial small subunit ribosomal RNA", at positions 524 to 776 of the family's 1533-position model. The record is from RNAcentral. Lineage: Bacteria; Pseudomonadati; Bacteroidota; Bacteroidia; Bacteroidales.
UACGGGGGAUGCGAGCGUUAUCCGGAUUUAUUGGGUUUAAAGGGUGCGUAGGCGGACUGUCAAGUCAGCGGUAAAAUACGGGGGCUCAACCUCCGCCCGCCGUUGAAACUGACGGUCUUGAGUGGGCGAGAAGUAUGCGGAAUGCGUGGUGUAGCGGUGAAAUGCAUAGAUAUCACGCAGAACUCCGAUUGCGAAGGCGACUUACUGGACUGUAACUGACGUUGAGGCACGAAAGUGUGGGGAGCAAACAGG